CUUAUCAAGAGUGGUGGAGGGAUCGGCCCAAUGAAACCCGGCAACCUGCAAGCAUGCAAGGUGCCAAAUCCGGCGGGAAUUCUGUUCGCUCAACGAACCGAAAGAUGAG
Molecule: non-coding RNA, 109 nt
Filed under: uncultured Butyricicoccus sp.
Lineage: Bacteria; Bacillati; Bacillota; Clostridia; Eubacteriales; Butyricicoccaceae
Description: SAM riboswitch (S box leader)
Rfam family: SAM riboswitch aptamer (S box leader)
About the family: The SAM riboswitch is found upstream of a number of genes which code for proteins involved in methionine or cysteine biosynthesis in Gram-positive bacteria. The SAM riboswitch acts at the level of transcription termination control. The predicted structure consists of a complex stem-loop region followed by a single stem loop terminator region.
Source: RNAcentral